GGGUGAUGUGAUGGCAUACCAUCUUUCGGGACUGACUCUAUAAUGGAGAUUACUUUUUGAUUUUACUGAUCACUU
This is a small nucleolar RNA of Etheostoma cragini (Arkansas darter), 75 nucleotides long. RefSeq annotates it as small nucleolar RNA SNORD2. The transcript has a single exon. Lineage: Eukaryota; Metazoa; Chordata; Actinopteri; Perciformes; Percidae. The record is from RefSeq and is a predicted model, not a curated record.